AGUCGAACGGUGAGCCAAGCUUGCUUGGUGGAUCAGUGGCGAACGGGUGAGUAACACGUGAGCAACCUGCCCUGGACUCUGGGAUAAGCGCUGGAAACGGCGUCUAAUACUGGAUAUGAGACGUGAUCGCAUGGUCGUGUUUGGAAAGAUUUUUCGGUCUGGGAUGGGCUCGCGGCCUAUCAGCUUGUUGGUGAGGUAAUGGCUCACCAAGGCGUCGACGGGUAGCCGGCCUGAGAGGGUGACCGGCCACACUGGGACUGAGACACGGCCCAGACUCCUACGGGAGGCAGCAGUGGGGAAUAUUGCACAAUGGGCGAAAGCCUGAUGCAGCAACGCCGCGUGAGGGAUGACGGCCUUCGGGUUGUAAACCUCUUUUAGCAGGGAAGAAGCGAAAGUGACGGUACCUGCAGAAAAAGCGCCGGCUAACUACGUGCCAGCAGCCGCGGUAAUACGUAGGGCGCAAGCGUUAUCCGGAAUUAUUGGGCGUAAAGAGCUCGUAGGCGGUUUGUCGCGUCUGCUGUGAAAUCCCGAGGCUCAACCUCGGGCCUGCAGUGGGUACGGGCAGACUAGAGUGCGGUAGGGGAGAUUGGAAUUCCUGGUGUAGCGGUGGAAUGCGCAGAUAUCAGGAGGAACACCGAUGGCGAAGGCAGAUCUCUGGGCCGUAACUGACGCUGAGGAGCGAAAGGGUGGGGAGCAAACAGGCUUARAUACCCUGGUAGUCCACCCCGUAAACGUUGGGAACUAGUUGUGGGGACCAUUCCACGGUUUCCGUGACGCAGCUAACGCAUUAAGUUCCCCGCCUGGGGAGUACGGCCGCAAGGCUAAAACUCAAAGGAAUUGACGGGGACCCGCACAAGCGGCGGAGCAUGCGGAUUAAUUCGAUGCAACGCGAAGAACCUUACCAAGGCUUGACAUAUACGAGAACGGGCCAGAAAUGGUCAACUCUUUGGACACUCGUAAACAGGUGGUGCAUGGUUGUCGUCAGCUCGUGUCGUGAGAUGUUGGGUUAAGUCCCGCAACGAGCGCAACCCUCGUUCUAUGUUGCCAGCACGUAAUGGUGGGAACUCAUGGGAUACUGCCGGGGUCAACUCGGAGGAAGGUGGGGAUGACGUCAAAUCAUCAUGCCCCUUAUGUCUUGGGCUUCACGCAUGCUACAAUGGCCGGUACAAAGGGCUGCAAUACCGUGAGGUGGAGCGAAUCCCAAAAAGCCGGUCCCAGUUCGGAUUGAGGUCUGCAACUCGACCUCAUGAAGUCGGAGUCGCUAGUAAUCGCAGAUCAGCAACGCUGCGGUGAAUACGUUCCCGGGUCUUGUACACACCGCCCGUCAAGUCAUGAAAGUCGGUAACACCUGAAGCCGGUGGCCCAACCCUGUGGAGGGAGCCUC
This 1384-nucleotide ribosomal RNA is filed under the name Microbacterium testaceum. RNAcentral's name for it is "16S ribosomal RNA". It matches the Rfam family "Bacterial small subunit ribosomal RNA". The record is from RNAcentral. Lineage: Bacteria; Bacillati; Actinomycetota; Actinomycetes; Micrococcales; Microbacteriaceae.